This 253-nucleotide ribosomal RNA is filed under the name uncultured bacterium. RNAcentral's name for it is "partial 16S ribosomal RNA". It matches the Rfam family "Bacterial small subunit ribosomal RNA", at positions 524 to 776 of the family's 1533-position model. The record is from RNAcentral.
UACGGAGGAUCCAAGCGUUAUCCGGAUCUAUUGGGUUUAAAGGGUGCGUAGGCGGAUUGAUAAGUUAGAGGUGAAAUGUCCGAGCUUAACUCGGGAACUGCCUCUAAUACUGUUGAUCUAGAGAGUAGAUGCGGUAGGCGGAAUGUAUGGUGUAGCGGUGAAAUGCUUAGAGAUCAUACAGAACACCGAUUGCGAAGGCAGCUUACCAAUCUAUAUCUGACGUUGAGGCACGAAAGCGUGGGGAGCAAACAGG